Molecule: ribosomal RNA, 253 nt
Filed under: uncultured bacterium
Lineage: Bacteria
Description: partial 16S ribosomal RNA
Rfam family: Bacterial small subunit ribosomal RNA
Source: RNAcentral
UACGAGUGCCCCGAGCGUUAUCCGGAAUCAUUGGGCGUAAAGGGUGUGUAGGUGGUUCUGUUAGUCUUCCGUUAAAUUCUUCGGCUUAACCGGGGGCAUGCGGGGGAAACGGCAGAACUUGAGGAUGCGAGAGGUGUGUGGAACUCUAUGUGUAGGGGUGAAAUCCGUUGAUAUAUAGGGGAACACCAAAAGCGAAGGCAGCACACUGGCGCACUCCUGACACUGAAACACUAAAGCGUGGGUAGCGAAUGGG